This 202-nucleotide ribosomal RNA is filed under the name Psychrobacter phenylpyruvicus. RNAcentral's name for it is "partial 23S ribosomal RNA". It matches the Rfam family "Bacterial large subunit ribosomal RNA", at positions 1440 to 1644 of the family's 2925-position model. Lineage: Bacteria; Pseudomonadati; Pseudomonadota; Gammaproteobacteria; Moraxellales; Moraxellaceae. The record is from RNAcentral.
GAUACUUGUUUAUGAUGUGAUGGAGGGACGGAGAAGGUUAUGCCAGCCUGGCGAUGGUUGUCCAGGUGGAAGGAUGUAGGUAGAUAGCUUAGGCAAAUCCGGGCUGUUAAUACCGAGAUCUGAUAGCAAGCUAGUUUACUAGCGAAGUGGCAAAUACCAUGCUUCCAGGAAAAGCUUCUAAACUAUAGUCAUAAACGAAUCG